This 458-nucleotide ribosomal RNA is filed under the name uncultured bacterium. Its description in RNAcentral is "bacterial SSU rRNA". It matches the Rfam family "Bacterial small subunit ribosomal RNA", at positions 29 to 532 of the family's 1533-position model. The record is from RNAcentral.
AACGAACGCUGGCGGCAGGCCUAACACAUGCAAGUCGAGCGAGGACUUCGGUCCUAGCGGCGGACGGGUGAGUAACGCGUGGGAACGUGCCCUUUGGUACGGAAUAGCCCCGGGAAACUGGGAGUAAUACCGUAUGGUGUCUUCGGACUAAAGAUUUAUCGCCAAAGGAUCGGCCCGCGUUGGAUUAGGUAGUUGGUGGGGUAAUGGCCUACCAAGCCGACGAUCCAUAGCUGGUUUGAGAGGAUGAUCAGCCACACUGGGACUGAGACACGGCCCAGACUCCUACGGGAGGCAGCAGUGGGGAAUCUUAGACAAUGGGGGCAACCCUGAUCUAGCCAUGCCGCGUGAGUGAUGAAGGCCCUAGGGUUGUAAAGCUCUUUCAGCUGGGAAGAUAAUGACGGUACCAGCAGAAGAAGCCCCGGCUAACUCCGUGCCAGCAGCCGCGGUAAAGUAGACGU